GUGCUGGCUUCUGCAGCACAGACACUAAAAUUGGAAUGAUACAGAGAAGGUUCAUGUGACCCCUGUGUGAGGAUGACAUGUAAAUUCAUAAAGUGUUCCAUAUUUAG
Ursus americanus (American black bear) is the source of this 107-nucleotide small nuclear RNA. The record is from Ensembl. NCBI's taxonomy places the organism in Eukaryota, Metazoa, Chordata, Mammalia, Carnivora, Ursidae.